RNAcentral lists this ribosomal RNA (478 nucleotides) under uncultured bacterium. RNAcentral's name for it is "partial 16S ribosomal RNA". It matches the Rfam family "Bacterial small subunit ribosomal RNA", at positions 28 to 523 of the family's 1533-position model. The record is from RNAcentral.
GACGAACGCUGGCGGCGUGCUUAACACAUGCAAGUCGAACGGUAAGGCCCUUCGGGGUACACGAGUGGCGAACGGGUGAGUAACACAUGGGUGAUCUGCCCUGCACUUCGGGAUAAGCCUGGGAAACUGGGUCUAAUACCGGAUAGGACCACUGCCUGCAUGGGUGGUGGUGGAAAGCUUUUGCGGUGUGGGAUGGGCCCGCGGCCUAUCAGCUUGCUGGUGGGGUGAUGGCCUACCAAGGCGACGACGGGUAGCCGGCCUGAGAGGGUGACCGGCCACACUGGGACUGAGAUAUGGCCCAGACUCCUACGGGAGGCAGCAGUGGGGAAUAUUGCACAAUGGGCGCAAGCCUGAUGCAGCGACGCCGCGUGAGGGAUGACGGCCUUCGGGUUGUAAACCUCUUUCAGCACCGACGAAGCGCAAGUGACGGUAGGUGCAGAAGAAGGACCGGCCAACUACGUGCCAGCCGCCGCAGUAC